CGGCGAGAGGAGAAAUUGGGGGUGGAUGGUUUAGGGUUUAAGGUUUGGGAGUGAAAUUGGGGGUGAAGUGUGAAAUUGGGGGUUGUUUAAAGGGUCAUUUUACAUUAAUACCUUAUUCUUUUAAAAUUUUAUAAAUAGGUCCGCAUUAUUAGCGAUGAUAAAUUUUAAAUCGUCGCUAAAUGUUAUAUCUAACGACGAUUAUCAACAUAUC
RNAcentral lists this long non-coding RNA (211 nucleotides) under Zostera marina. Its description in RNAcentral is "long non-coding RNA (ZMAR_LNC000726)". The record is from RNAcentral. Lineage: Eukaryota; Viridiplantae; Streptophyta; Magnoliopsida; Alismatales; Zosteraceae.